This 66-nucleotide transfer RNA is filed under the name Merluccius polli (Benguela hake). RNAcentral's name for it is "tRNA-OTHER". It matches the Rfam family "tRNA". Rfam says of the family: Transfer RNA (tRNA) molecules are approximately 80 nucleotides in length. Their secondary structure includes four short double-helical elements and three loops (D, anti-codon, and T loops). Lineage: Eukaryota; Metazoa; Chordata; Actinopteri; Gadiformes; Merlucciidae. The record is from RNAcentral.
GUUUCUGUAGUGUAGUGGUUAUCACGUUCGCUUACGAGGUCCCUGGUUCGAAACCGGGCAGAAGCA